Molecule: small nucleolar RNA, 133 nt
Organism: Acomys russatus (golden spiny mouse)
Lineage: Eukaryota; Metazoa; Chordata; Mammalia; Rodentia; Muridae
Product: small nucleolar RNA SNORA17
Exons: 1
Source: RefSeq, a predicted model, not a curated record
CCCGCCCAGGGCAUUGCAGGUGCGGCUGCUGUGUCACAUGUGCGUCAGUAGGUGGCAGAGAGCAGAGAGGCUAUGGCUAUGCCCGGUGUUCUGACCUGUGAACAUCUGAAUAAUUAAUUAGUAGCCUAACAUU